UGCAGUCGAGCGGAGAGGAAGCUUGCUCCUGGAUUCCUGGGCGGACGGGGGAGAAGGCCUAUGAAUGUGACUGGGCCUGGGGGAUGACGACCGGACUGGGCGCUGAUACCGCUUCCGUCCUGAGGGAGAAAAUGGGGGAUCUUCGGACCUCGCCCUCUCGCAUGAGCCUGUGUCGGAUUAGCUAUAUGGUGGGGUAAAGGCCUACCAUCGCCACGAUCCCUAACUGGUCUGAGAGGAAGAUCAUGACCACUGGAACUGAAACUCAGACCAGACUCCUACUCCAGGCAGAGGUGGGGAAUAUUGAACAAGGGGCGAAAGCCUGAUCCAGACAUGCCGCGUGUGUGAAGAAGGUCUUCGCCUUGUAAAUGACUUUAACUUGGGAGGAAGGGGAAGGGAUUAAUACCUUGCUCUUUUGACGUUGCCGACAGAAUAAGAACCGGCUAACUUCGUGCCCGCAGCCGCGGUAAUACGAAGGGUGCAGGCGUUAAUCGGAAUUACUGGGCGUAAAGCGCGCGUAGGUGGUUCAGCAAGUUGGAUGUGAAAUCCCCGGGCUCAACCUGGCAACUGCAUCUGCAACUGACUACUGCUAGAGUACGAGUAGAGGGUGAGUGGAAUUUCCUGUCGUAGCGGUAGAAAUGCAAUAUGAUAUAGAGAAUCGAACACCAGUACGCGGAAGGCGAACCGACGCUGCCACCUGAUACUGACACUGA
This 710-nucleotide ribosomal RNA is filed under the name Pseudomonas aeruginosa. RNAcentral's name for it is "bacterial SSU rRNA". It matches the Rfam family "Bacterial small subunit ribosomal RNA", at positions 56 to 749 of the family's 1533-position model. Lineage: Bacteria; Pseudomonadati; Pseudomonadota; Gammaproteobacteria; Pseudomonadales; Pseudomonadaceae. The record is from RNAcentral.